GGGAUAGAGACUUGGACACUGCUCUGCCUGAAGAAAGCUGAAAGAAAUUGAAAGAUUGUCUUUAUUGUUUUGUGAACGUGCUGGAUGCGCUAGUUUUGUUUUGUGUAAACUGGUGAAUAAAUCAACUGAGUCUCCAGUGCCAGCCCUGGUCACUUCCUUCUUCCUACUAUGAACUUUGUUACACUCUCUCUCUUCCCCUCUACCUCUAAACCUGUCCCUAUCCCUAGGUCCCGGGUUUUAGCACCAGUGUAACAAAGUUCGUCAUUCAAAUGACAGUUCUGCAACCAAUCAGAGAUGCUGGGAUUCCCUGAGAUGAGCCAGCAGGCAAAACUCCAACUCCUCUCAGCUCAAACGCAAGAAAACCAGACGGUCUCAGAUGGAGCACUGGUGGCAGGGAUGCAUAAAUACUGCUGAGCUAGCUUGGCAAUGCGAGGGAAAUUUGUCUGAUGGCAUCUCCACCAGUCUAAAGGGAGGAGGAACAGGCUCUGCUUCUGCUGCUGCUGCACCAGCAGCCCCUGAGAGUGUGUCCUGUUGAGCCUUUAUUAGUGGCACUAUCUCUUCAACUGCUCUGGAUAGAACCCGCUCCACCUUUUCUUUAUCCAUAUACUUGGUUCUAAACCGUGGAUCAAGAAGAGAUGCAAUGUCAAGCAUGUCAUCUGUGACCUGAUCGGAAUAUUUCUCAUUCAAAUAAGCUAGAAUGUUUCUCUUCACAUCCUUCGUCAGCUGAGUAUCACUCUCUUCCUCAGCAAGAAUGGAUGUGUUGAAGAGACUGAGCACUGGCUUAAGGUAGGAGACACUGACAUAUUGCUCUCCUGACAAGGCAUCUGUGAAGUCCUGGAGUGGGCUCAACACCUUGUUGACAGCCUCUAGGACAUCCACAUAUUGCCAUCUAAGGACCAAGUGCAUUGAUUUCUUGUCAGCUUUUAGAACCUGACUAAUGGCCCUCUCUUGCUCCAGUACUCUUAGAAUCAUCAUUUGAUGUGAUCCCCACCUUGUAGGCAUCUCAGUAGUGAGCACAUGCUUUGGAAGACCCAGAUCGUUCUGAACAAUGGCCAGGUCCCUCCUUUUCUUCCAAGAGUAUGAGAAGGCUGACACAAUUCUUUUGCAGACACCUACUGCACGUUGUAUGCGGUCAUCUUUCAUACCUCUCUCAGUAAAAAUGACAAAUAAUUAUAUAGUUCACUUUUCCUAAUGUUAAUUAAAACAUUGAUUUUACUUUAG
This is a long non-coding RNA of Cyprinus carpio carpio, 1221 nucleotides long. The record is from Ensembl. Lineage: Eukaryota; Metazoa; Chordata; Actinopteri; Cypriniformes; Cyprinidae.